This 610-nucleotide ribosomal RNA is filed under the name Marinobacter sp. RNAcentral's name for it is "bacterial SSU rRNA". It matches the Rfam family "Bacterial small subunit ribosomal RNA", at positions 47 to 649 of the family's 1533-position model. Lineage: Bacteria; Pseudomonadati; Pseudomonadota; Gammaproteobacteria; Pseudomonadales; Marinobacteraceae. The record is from RNAcentral.
CGCUACACAUGCAGUCGAGCGGUAACAGGGGGUGCUUGCACCCCGCUGACGAGCGGCGGACGGGUGAGUAAUGCAUAGGAAUCUGCCCAGUAGUGGGGGAUAGCCCGGGGAAACCCGGAUUAAUACCGCAUACGCCCUUUGGGGGAAAGCAGGGGAUCUUCGGACCUUGCGCUAUUGGAUGAGCCUAUGUCGGAUUAGCUAGUUGGUGGGGUAAAGGCCUACCAAGGCGACGAUCCGUAGCUGGUCUGAGAGGAUGAUCAGCCACAUCGGGACUGAGACACGGCCCGAACUCCUACGGGAGGCAGCAGUGGGGAAUAUUGGACAAUGGGGGCAACCCUGAUCCAGCCAUGCCGCGUGUGUGAAGAAGGCUUUCGGGUUGUAAAGCACUUUCAGUGAGGAGGAAAACCUUCUGGUUAAUACCCAUGAGGCUUGACGUUACUCACAGAAGAAGCACCGGCUAACUCCGUGCCAGCAGCCGCGGUAAUACGGAGGGUGCAAGCGUUAAUCGGAAUUACUGGGCGUAAAGCGCGCGUAGGUGGUUUGAUAAGCGAGAUGUGAAAGCCCCGGGCUUAACCUGGGAACGGCAUUUCGAACUGUCAGGCUAGAGUGU